This is a long non-coding RNA of Nomascus leucogenys (northern white-cheeked gibbon), 1285 nucleotides long. RefSeq lists it as uncharacterized. The record is from RefSeq and is a predicted model, not a curated record. The transcript has 2 exons. Lineage: Eukaryota; Metazoa; Chordata; Mammalia; Primates; Hylobatidae.
GCUGGACAAUGACAAGGAGCUCUUGUCAUUAAGUUUGGGGUACAGUGGCAGACUGCUGCGUCCGAGGCAGGGGCCCUCAGUUCUGGCCCAUGCCCCACCUCUAGCUGUGUGAUCUUCAGCCAAAGCUCAGCCUCUCUGGAUUUGGGCCUGGUAUCAGAGCUUGAGCAGAUGAGCUCUGAGCACCUUUCUGCCCCAGAGCUGUGGCAGCUGGCCAAGCUCCUGGGAAAAGCCACCCAGUUCCCUACUACACACCAGGGAGGAAUCAUUUCACUUGUCCACUCUUCUCUUUUGUUACAGGUGAGGUCUUCUGGGGUCAACUGGACUCAUAAGGCAGGAGGGACCUCAUUUUUCAGAGAAGGAAUGCCUAGAUUAUCAACAGAACUGUGCCCCAAGACCCAGGGAGACCUCCCUGCCCCAGUGCCUAUUAGAAUGACAAAAGGUGUGGACCCAAGCCCAGAUGACCAGGGCUCUGCCUGGAAGUGCCAGGCCAGGACCCUGGGUCUGUAGAGUCUCUGCCAUUGCAAAGGAUGAGCCAGAUGGAAAAAUUCAGCAUGGAGCUGUAUCCCUGAGCCAAGAGGGCACCCCCUUCCCCGUUGGGGGAGCGAUGGCUUGGGAACAAGCCCCCCGCCCCAUGCUCCAGUGCAUCUAGCUGCCUUUGGCCACCAUCCUGAAACAGCAGGGAGCAGGCUUCCUCUUUCCUCACACCCUGGAACCCAGUGAUUGCUGACCAGGAAGCAGAACCUUCCAAGCCUUAGGCUUGCAUCCUGCCUCUCAGCCAAGACCUGUCUCCUCAGUCAUCUGAAACCACCCUACCACGCCAGACUCUCCCUCUGUCUUCUUGCUAUUCCAGCUCUCUCUUCUUCCCACUUCCUAUUUUCUCUCCAUUUUGUUCAAACUCCAUGAACAAGAACAACAGAGCUCAGACAGCGAAAGCCUCCCCAUCCCAGCUGUAUGCAAAUUCCCAGCAGGCUGAAAGGACCACCCGCCCACCCAAGACCACCUCCCAGGAAGCCGAGGCCUUGUGCGGAGCCCCAGAGGCGCUUGAGCUGAUUGGAGAAUGGGUUGAGGUGGGUGGGACCCAUCACUGUUCUUCCCUUCUCAUUCCUGUGGUUCCCUGAAGAGUCUCUGGGGCCUGCUUUUCCCCCCAGCAGAGACGGAUGUGUCACAUUUAUGGCGUCCCAUUUCCUUCACAGAGAGGCUAUAGAUCCUGUUUCAUUCUGGUGUAUUUAAUUCACUCCAUAGGAAUCAAUAAAAACUUUAAGUAAAAAAAAAAGGCAAAAUCCAA